Molecule: ribosomal RNA, 422 nt
Filed under: uncultured bacterium
Lineage: Bacteria
Description: partial 16S ribosomal RNA
Rfam family: Bacterial small subunit ribosomal RNA
Source: RNAcentral
AAUAUUGGACAAUGGGGGCAACCCUGCUCCAGCCAUGCCGCGUGUGUGAAGAAGGUCUUCGGAUUGUAAAGCACCUUCAGUUGGGAGGAAGGGCUUUAGGUUAAUACCCUGAAGUUUUGACGUUACCAACAAAAUAAGCCCCGUCUAACCCUGUCCCAGCAGCCGCGGUAAUACAGAGAGUGCAAGCGUUAAUCAGAAUUACUGGUCGUAAAGCGCGCGUAGGUGGUUCAGUAAGAUGGGUGUGAAAUCCCCGGGCUUAACCUGGGAACUGCUUUCAUAACUGCUGAGCUAGAGUACGGUAGAGGAUAGUGGAAUGUCAUGUGUAGCGGUGAAAUGCGUAGAUAUAGGAAGGAACACAAGUGGCGAAGGCGACUACCUGGACUGACACUGACACUGAGGUGCGAAAGCGUGGGGAGCAAACA